UACGAAGGGGGCUAGCGUUGUUCGGAAUUACUGGGCGUAAAGCGCGCGCAGGUGGUCUUUCAAGUCAGUGGUGAAAGCCCGGAGCUCAACUCCGGAAAUGCCAUUGAAACUGUGAGACUUGAGGACGAGAGAGGUGAGUGGAAUUCCCAGUGUAGAGGUGAAAUUCGUAGAUAUUGGGAAGAACACCGGUGGCGAAGGCGGGUCUCUGGGCCGUAACUGACGCUGAGGAGCGAAAGCGUGGGGAGCGAACAGG
Molecule: ribosomal RNA, 253 nt
Filed under: uncultured bacterium
Lineage: Bacteria
Description: partial 16S ribosomal RNA
Rfam family: Bacterial small subunit ribosomal RNA
Source: RNAcentral